UGGACGAAAGUCUGACGGAGCAACGCCGCGUGAACGAUGAAGGCUUUCGGGUCGUAAAGUUCUGUUGUCAGGGAAGAACAAGUACCGGAGUAACUGCCGGUACCUUGACGGUACCUGACCAGAAAGCCACGGCUAACUACGUGCCAGCAGCCGCGGUAAUACGUAGGUGGCAAGCGUUGUCCGGAAUUAUUGGGCGUAAAGCGCGCGCAGGCGGUUCCUUAAGUCUGAUGUGAAAGCCCCCGGCUCAACCGGGGAGGGUCAUUGGAAACUGGGGAACUUGAGUGCAGAAGAGGAGAGCGGAAUUCCACGUGUAGCGGUGAAAUGCGUAGAGAUGUGGAGGAACACCAGUGGCGAAGGCGGCUCUCUGGUCUGUAACUGACGCUGAGGCGCGAAAGCGUGGGGAGCGAACAGGAUUAGAUACCCUGGUAGUCCACGCCGUAAACGAUGAGUGCUAAGUGUUAGAGGGUUUCCGCCCUUUAGUGCUGCAGCAAACGCAUUAAGCACUCCGCCUGGGGAGUAC
This 520-nucleotide ribosomal RNA is filed under the name uncultured bacterium. RNAcentral's name for it is "bacterial SSU rRNA". It matches the Rfam family "Bacterial small subunit ribosomal RNA", at positions 372 to 883 of the family's 1533-position model. The record is from RNAcentral.